This is a non-coding RNA of Beta vulgaris subsp. vulgaris (sugar beet), 106 nucleotides long. Lineage: Eukaryota; Viridiplantae; Streptophyta; Magnoliopsida; Caryophyllales; Amaranthaceae. The record is from Rfam.
AUGCCAUGGUGUGGGCAUUGUAUUUGCAAAGUCUUGUAUCUCUGACAUGCCUCAUAGAGAGACUCCAAUAAUGUUGUUGAAAACUAGAUAUCUCAUUUCUUAACUU